AGAGUUUGAUCCUGGCUCAGGACGAACGCUGGCGGCGUGCCUAACACAUGCAAGUCGAGCGAAGAAUUUAUCAUGAAGCCUUCGGGCAGAUUGAUAAACUUCUUAGCGGCGGAUGGGUGAGUAACGCGUGAGGAACCUGCCUUCUACAAGGGGAUAGCCUCGGGAAACCGGGAUUAAUACCCUAUGACACUAAUUCUCUGCAUGGAGAAUAAGUUAAAGCGUUAGCGGUAGAAGAUGGCCUCGCGUCCCAUUAGCUAGUUGGUGAGGUAACAGCUCACCAAGGCAACGAUGGGUAGCCGGCUUGAGAGAGUGACCGGCCACACUGGAACUGAGACACGGUCCAGACUCCUACGGGAGGCAGCAGUGGGGAAUAUUGCACAAUGGAGGGAACUCUGAUGCAGCGACGCCGCGUGAGUGAUGAAGGCCUUCGGGUCGUAAAGCUCUGUCCUAUGGGACGAUAAUGACGGUACCAUAGGAGGAAGCCCCGGCUAACUACGUGCCAGCAGCCGCGGUAAUACGGAGGAUCCAAGCGUUAUCCGGAUUUAUUGGGUUUAAAGGGUGCGUAGGCGGGCCCUUAAGUCAGUGGUGAAAGUUUGCAGCUUAACUGUAAAAUUGCCAUUGAAACUGAGGGUCUUGAGUGUAAAUAAGGUAGGCGGAAUGUGUUGUGUAGCGGUGAAAUGCUUAGAUAUAACACAGAACACCAAUUGCGAAGGCAGCUUACUGGGAUACAACUGACGCUGAGGCACGAAAGCGUGGGGAUCAAACAGGAUUAGAUACCCUGGUAGUCCACGCAGUAAACGAUGAAUACUAGCUGUAUGCGAUAUACUGUAUGUGGUACAGCGAAAGCGUUAAGUAUUCCACCUGGGGAGUACGUUCGCAAGAAUGAAACUCAAAGGAAUUGACGGGGGCCCGCACAAGCGGAGGAACAUGUGGUUUAAUUCGAUGAUACGCGAGGAACCUUACCCGGGCUUGAAAUGCAGACGACCGAUCAGGAAACUGAUCUUCCAGCAAUGGCGUCUGUGUAGGUGCUGCAUGGUUGUCGUCAGCUCGUGCCGUGAGGUGUCGGCUUAAGUGCCAUAACGAGCGCAACCCCUAUCAUUAGUUACUAACAGGUUAAGCUGAGGACUCUAAUGAGACUGCCACCGUAAGGUGUGAGGAAGGUGGGGAUGACGUCAAAUCAGCACGGCCCUUACGUCCGGGGCGACACACGUGUUACAAUGGGGGGUACAGAGGGUUGCUACUUGGUGACAAGAUGCUAAUCUCUUAAAGCCUCUCUCAGUUCGGAUCGGAGUCUGCAACUCGACUCCGUGAAGCUGGAUUCGCUAGUAAUCGCGCAUCAGCCAUGGCGCGGUGAAUACGUUCCCGGGCCUUGUACACACCGCCCGUCAAGCCAUGGAAGCCGAGGGGACCUGAAGUACGUAACCGCAAGGAGCGUCCAAGGGUAAAAUUGGUAACUGGGGCUAAGUCGUAACAAGGUA
RNAcentral lists this ribosomal RNA (1478 nucleotides) under uncultured bacterium. Its description in RNAcentral is "bacterial SSU rRNA". It matches the Rfam family "Bacterial small subunit ribosomal RNA". The record is from RNAcentral.